GAGAGAGAGAGUUAGAGGAAGAAGGAUAAAUUGAUAGAAAGAGAUGGGUCAAGAGAGCCACACUGCUCAGAAAAGAAGUGGAGGAGCUGGUGGUUCGCUUCCCACCACCACCACCAGACUAAGCGGCCGUUCAUCUUCGGGCUUCUCUCGUGGCCGUCAGAUCCAAAAGACCUUCAACAACCUCAAGAUCACCAUUCUUUGUGGUUUCGUCACCAUUCUUGUCCUUCGUGGCACAAUCGGCGUCGGCAACCUCGCCGGAAUAGCCGACGUUGAGGCCGAGAACCAGAACCUCAUCGAGGAAACCAAUCGAAUUCUUGCUGAGAUCCGUUCCGACAGCGAUCCUAUCGACCCUUCUGAACCUGCGGAGCCUGAAUUCAACCCAAACGUUACCUACACUCUUGGCCCUAAGAUCUCCGAUUGGGACCUGCAGCGCAAGAUCUGGCUCCAACGCAAUCCCCAGUUCCCCAAUUACGUCAAUGGCAAAGCGCGAAUCUUGCUUGUUACUGGAUCUCCUCCUAACCCUUGUGACAACUCAAUUGGUGAUCAUUACCUUCUCAAGUCUAUCAAGAACAAGAUCGAUUACUGCCGAAUUCAUGGAAUUGAGAUCAUUUACAAUUUGGCCCAUCUCGAUAAGGAGCUCGCUGGUUACUGGGCUAAGCUUCCCUUGAUUCGACGCCUCAUGCUGUCUCAUCCGGAGGUGGAGUGGAUUUGGUGGAUGGAUAGCGAUGCCUUGUUCACGGAUAUGGUUUUUCAGCUUCCUCUCUCCAAAUACGAUCAGUAUAAUAUGGUGGUCCAUGGUUACCCGGAUUUGAUGUUCGAGCAGAAAUCAUGGAUUGCGUUGAACACCGGAAGCUUUCUCUUCCGGAAUUGCCAGUGGUCUUUGGAUUUGCUUGACGCUUGGGCUCCUAUGGGUCCUAAAGGCCCCGUUAGGGACGAAGCGGGGAAGAUCUUGACUGCUAACUUGAAAGGGCGGCCAGCAUUUGAGGCCGACGAUCAAUCGGCGUUGAUUUACCUUUUGAUCUCCCAGAAGCAUUGGAUGGAGAAGGUUUUCCUCGAGAAUUCUUACUACUUACAUGGCUACUGGGCUGGUCUAGUGGACAGAUAUGAGGAGAUGAUGGAGAAGUACCAUCCAGGAUUGGGUGAUGAGAGAUGGCCAUUUGUGACCCAUUUCGUUGGUUGCAAGCCCUGCGGGAGCUAUGGGGAUUAUCCGGUGGAGAGGUGCUUGAAAAGCAUGGAGAGAGCCUUUAAUUUUGCAGAUAAUCAGGUUCUCAAAUUAUAUGGUUUUAGGCACCGGGGCUUGUUGAGCCCCAAGAUCAAGAGGAUCAGGAACGAGACGGCUACUCCUUUGGAGAUUGUAGAUCAAUUCGAUAUUCGACGGCAUCCUGUUCAUCAAGGCUCCGAUCCAAACAGCAUUUGAGUAUCAGUCUUCCCUGUUUCAUAAAUUGUAAGUUAAAUGUAUCCUCAGUUUGUGGAUUUUGUUUGUUUUUGUUUCUACGCAUAGUUGCAUAGGACCUAUGCAAAGAAGAAAAGUAGAUUCUUUUAUUAUUAUUCUUUUCUAUUCAUGAUUUUCUCUCAGACAUUUCAAGAAUUAAUACUUUUAUGAUUCAUUUACAUC
Molecule: RNA transcript, 1615 nt
Organism: Telopea speciosissima
Lineage: Eukaryota; Viridiplantae; Streptophyta; Magnoliopsida; Proteales; Proteaceae
Gene name: probable xyloglucan 6-xylosyltransferase 5
Exons: 2
Source: RefSeq, a predicted model, not a curated record